Molecule: ribosomal RNA, 116 nt
Filed under: Erinaceus europaeus (western European hedgehog)
Lineage: Eukaryota; Metazoa; Chordata; Mammalia; Eulipotyphla; Erinaceidae
Source: RNAcentral
UUCUGUGCUCACACUUCCCUGAACAAGCCUCAUCUUGUUUGAUAUGGGAAGUUAGGCAGGGUCAGCCAUGGCUAACCCUUGGACAAGAAAGAGAAGAGGGCAGGGCAGGGCAGGGC